Molecule: small nucleolar RNA, 107 nt
Filed under: Sorghum bicolor (sorghum)
Lineage: Eukaryota; Viridiplantae; Streptophyta; Magnoliopsida; Poales; Poaceae
Description: Plant small nucleolar RNA R71
Rfam family: Plant small nucleolar RNA R71
About the family: R71 is a member of the C/D box family of snoRNAs containing the C (UGAUGA) and D (CUGA) box motifs. Multiple nearly identical copies of this snoRNA have been identified in Arabidopsis, and it is thought to function as a 2'-O-ribose methylation guide for 18S ribosomal RNA.
Source: Rfam by way of RNAcentral
AUCUCAUCAUCAGGAUAGGCAUGAAUGUACUCCUCGAGAUGUUCCCAUGCUUCAGGAAUUGUCUCAUUAGCUUGCUAUUGGAAGCUGGAAAUCUUUCCACAAAGGGC